This is a long non-coding RNA of Coregonus clupeaformis (lake whitefish), 1932 nucleotides long. RefSeq lists it as uncharacterized. NCBI's taxonomy places the organism in Eukaryota, Metazoa, Chordata, Actinopteri, Salmoniformes, Salmonidae. The transcript is spliced from 3 exons. The record is from RefSeq and is a predicted model, not a curated record.
UGCGUCACUGGCAGAAUCAUCUAAUUGUCUGUGGUAUUGAGUUUGAAUUGAAGACAGUGAGGUUUGGUGCGGGCAACAACAAGUAGUAAUUCAAACAUGAACUGUAUAGUGCCAGGCUGUAUGAAUUGGCUACUUAAAAAAAAAACUCGGAGGAGGUCUUCAUCCCUGAAAAGGUUUUCAUCCUGAAGGAGAAUGUGCAGGAGGAGGCAGAGGAGGAAAGAACUGUUAGUAGAGUAUGCCAAACUGACCCCUGGGUGCCAGAGUGUUCCUGUGCUGCGGUGGAGAAGAGGUCCACCGGGACUAUCACUAAAGAGCUCGGGGCCAAGCUAGAUUGCGCUCUCGACCAUCAGUAUACAACCGAGUCCUGAACCCUAUACGCCACAGAUGGAGCUGACGGAGAGUGAGAUCAGUGAAGACCAUAACUCGCUGUAUGAACCUGAGAGCUCAGAAUCACAAUCAUCACAGUGAGAGAUACAGGUGCAGCUCAAUCAAUUAGAAUAUUGUUGAAAAGUUAAGUAAUUUCAAUAAUUCAAUUGACAAAGUGAAACUCAUAUAUUGUGCAUUAAUGAAAUAUUUCAAGCCUGUAUUUUUUUUAAUCUUGAUGAUUACGGCUUACAGCUCAUGAAAACCCCAAAUUCAGUAUCUCUGAAAAUUUGAAUAUUGUGAAAAAGUUCAAUAUUGUAGACUCAAGGUGUCAUACUAAUCAGCUAACUAACUCAAAACACCUGCAAAGGUUUCCUGAGCCUUUAAAUGGUCUCUCAGUCCAGUUCAGUAGGCUUCACAAUCAUGGGGAAGACUGCUGACUUGACAGUUGUGCAGAAGACAUCAACACCCUCCACAAAGAGGGAAAACCUCAAAAGAUCAUUGCUAAAGAAGCUGGCUGUUCACAGAGGGCUGUAUCCAAGCAUAUUCAUGGAAAGUCGAGUGGAAGGAAGAAGUGUGGUAGGAAAAGGUGCACAAGCAACAGGGAUAACCGGAGCCUUGAGAGGAUUGUCAAGCAAAGGCCAUUCAUAAAUGUGGGGGAGCUUCACAAGGAGUGGACUGAGGCAGGAGUCAGUGCAUCAAGAGCAACCACGCACAGACGUAUCCAGGAAAUGGGAUACAACUGUCGCAUUCCUCGUAUCAAGCCACUCCUGAACCAGAGGCAAUGUCAGAAGCGUCUUACCUGGGCUAAGGAGAAAAAGAACUGGUCUGUCGUUCAGUGGUCCAAAGUCCUCUUUUCAGAUUAAAGUGAAUUUUGCAUUUAAUUUGGCAAUCAAGGUCCCAGAGUCUGGAGGAAGAGUGGAGAGGCACAGAAUCCAAGUUGCUUGAAGUCCAGUGUCAAGUUUCCACAGUCAGUGAUGAUUUGGGGAGCCUUGUCAUCUUCUGGUGUUGGUCCACUGUCAACUCAGCCGUCUACCAGGAAAUGUUAGAGCACUUCAUGCUUCCUUCUGCUGACAAGCUUUAUGGAGAUGCUGAUUUCAUUUUCCAGCAGGAUUUGGCACCUGCCCACACUGCCAAAGGUACCAAUACCUGGUUCAAUGACCAUGGGAUUACUGUGCUUGAUUGGCCAGCAAACUGGCCUGAUCUGAACCCCAUAGAGAAUUUAUGGGGUAUUGUCAAGAGGAACAUGAGAAACACGAGACACAACGAUGCAGACGAGCUGAAGGCCACUAUCGAAGCAACCUGGGCUUCCAUAACACCUCAGCAGUGCCACAGGCUGAUCGACUCCAUGCCACGCCGCAUAGAUGCAGUGAUUCAUGCAAAAGGAGCCCCAACCAAGUACUGACUGCAUGUACAAGAACAUAGGCUGAAGGCCGACAUGUCUUUAUUACAUUUCCUUUUUUCACUGGUCUUAUGUCAUAUUCUAAUUUUCUGAGAUACUGAAUUUGGGGUUUUCAUGAGCUGUAAGCCGUAAUCAUCAAGAUUAAAACAUACAGGCUUGAACUAUUU